GACGAACGCUGGCGGCGUGCUUAACACAUGCAAGUCGAACGGAAAGGCCCUGCUUUUGUGGGGUGCUCGCGUGGCGAACGGGUGAGUAACACGUGAGUAACCUGCCCUUGACUUUGGGAUAACUUCAGGAAACUGGGGCUAAUACCGGAUAGGAGCUCCUGCUGCAUGGUGGGGGUUGGAAAGUUUCGGCGGUUGGGGAUGGACUCGCGGCUUAUCAGCUUGUUGGUGGGGUAGUGGCUUACCAAGGCUUUGACGGGUAGCCGGCCUGAGAGGGUGACCGGCCACAUGGGGACUGAGAUACGGCCCAGACUGCUACGGGAGGCAGCAGUGGGGAAUAUUGCACAAUGGGCGGAAGCCUGAUGCAGCAACGCCGCGUGCGGGAUGCCGGCCUUCGGGUUGUAAACCGCUUUCGCCUGUGACGAAGCGUGAGUGACGGUAAUGGGUAAAGAAGCACCGGCUAACUACGUG
Molecule: ribosomal RNA, 468 nt
Filed under: uncultured bacterium
Lineage: Bacteria
Description: partial 16S ribosomal RNA
Rfam family: Bacterial small subunit ribosomal RNA
Source: RNAcentral